Molecule: long non-coding RNA, 1870 nt
Filed under: Marmota monax (woodchuck)
Lineage: Eukaryota; Metazoa; Chordata; Mammalia; Rodentia; Sciuridae
Source: RNAcentral
CUUAUUUAUUUUUAUUCCCAUUUUACAGAUGAUGAAGCAAGACACAGAGAGGCCAUUUGUCCCAAAUCCAGUGAAGAAGGAGAACUGGGGUUUGACCUGGGGCUUCUGAUGCCUAAUCUGUGUUACUCGAGGCCAUGUGCAUUUGUCCUUGUGCCACGGGGCUGGGACCUGCCUGCCUCUGCCGACACCGAGUGGUUAUACAUUGUGCCAGGACCAGCACUGGCAGGAACCCCGCUGGGUAGUCAGGGCCGCCGGGCUUCCUCUCGACGUUUCCCUACUGGUGGAGCCUCCAGCCUCCCCUCCACCUGCCCUGUUCCCUCUAACUGAACUGUUCCCAGCGCCUGGGGAAUAGGGACCGCCCCUGAGCACGGCCACAGCCCGGCCACUGGAACCCCACCCAGGCCCCCGAGCAUGGGAGAGAUCAGUUUGUAGACCUCCUUUGGGUUCCCCAGGUCUUUCCUUUUGCUAGGUGGCUCUGAGGUCAACAUCAUGGUGAGUCCCAGCAGGUACACCCCCGAGUCCUAAGACUGGAGUCUGAGAGGGAAGAUCGUGGUAACCAGAGUCAUUGUGAUGAAUGCACGGUUACAAAUGGAGGUAAGGUAUCUGAGGGAAUGAAAGAGUUUUGGGAGAGUGAGGAGUGAAGAAAACUUGACUUGGGAGUCAGGAAGCCUCCUCAAGAAGGUGAUGCUUGAGCUGUGAUCUGAGAGGCAGUGGGAGUCAGCUAGUGGCAGGAGGAAGACAGAGCUCCCAGGCACACUGAAGGGCAAGUGCAAAGGCCCUGGGGAAGAGACAUUUUGGUUAGGUGAGAAUGCAGAGGGACAGGGACGUGUGAGUUGAGGCUAGGGACAGGCAGGGGCUGGUGUCAAGAGUCCCAAUGUUACUUUAGUAAAGGCCCAUUUAAAAGGAAAUGGGGAGCCACUAGAAAGCUCUAAUUUGGGAGGUGACAAUGAGGAGUUCAUACAAUUGGGUUUAUAUUUUUAAAGGAUUCCCAAGGCUGUUGACUGGAUGGGAAGGGUCUUAGUUUCAAGAGAUAAGUCAGAGGCUAUGGACUUGGGAGAGGUGAGGGUGCACCAUGCUUGAGACCAAGGUGGAGGGGGGGGUGAUGGAGAUGGAUCUGUGAGCUCUUCCUAGGUAAACCCCGUCCCAGGUUUAUGAUAGACACUGGCAAUACAGACGUGGGUACAGCGUGAAACCCUCUUCCAAGGGAAGAAAGAGGGAGCUACACCAUGACAGAGGCGUGUGACCAACUCAGCUGGCUGUGUUGGAGGAGGGGAAGUGGCCGCAGCUUUGGCCUGUACCAUACCCACAGCCUGGCGAUGGGACUUCCUGCUCUUCCCAUCAAGAGACCAAGGCCACGUCCCUACCCUUCCCAUCUGGGCUGGUCUCUUUUGUCAGUAAACCUGGAGAAGUGAUGGCGCGUCAGUGUUGAGCCUGGGCCUUCUGUGCUUCCACCAUUUCUAGGAGAACAAACCCAGGCAAAUCUCCCUAACAACAAGACAGAUGGCCCAAUUACCUCUGUCACACUGGCUGAUGGAAGGACAACUACCAGAUAUGCAACCAAACAUCUUAGAACAGCGAUCCCCAGGUAUGUGGCCAGAGGAGCUCAGGAGCCCGAGCCAGUUCAACCAAGAUCAGCCGAGCCUGCCCCAGAGGAGCAGAGCGGUUCAUCCAGCAAUAGCCAACACUUACUGCUUAAAGCAAGCAUUGGCCAACAGCGGCCUGUUGGCCGCCUGUUUUUAUUUUACCUAAAGUUUUAUUAAAAUGCAGCCAUAACAUUGAUUGGUGUAUCAUCUACAGCUUCUUCAGAGUUACCGAGUCAGAGCUUGUAUUGCAACAGAGACCACAUGAUAUGCAGAGCCUUGAAUGUUAC